CGCGAAUCGCCCUUCGGGGUGCCCAGGCGCGAAAACUUUACAAUGCGGGAAACCGUGAUAGGGGAACUCCGAGUGCCCGUAAAAUCGGGCUGUCCAUUGGUUUAAAUAACCAGUGAAGAAAGGGCCGGGCAAGACCGGUGCCAGCCGCCGCGGUAAUACCGGCGGCUCGAGUGGUGGCCACUAUUACUGGGCUUAAAGCGUUCGUAGCUGGUUUGUUAAGUCUCUGGGGAAAUCUUCCGGCUUAACCGGAAGGCGUCUCAGGGAUACUGGCAGACUAGGGACCGGGAGAGGUGAGGGGUACUCCAGGGGUAGGAGUGAAAUCCUGUAAUCCUUGGGGGACCACCUGUGGCGAAGGCGCCUCACCAGAACGGCUCCGACAGUGAGGGACGAAAGCUGGGGGAGCAAACCGGAUUAGAUACCCGGGUAGUCCCAGCUGUAAACGAUGCGCGUUAGGUGUAUCGGUGACCACGAGUCACCGAGGUGCCGAAGAGAAAUCGUGAAACGUGCCGCCUGGGAAGUACGGUCGCAAGGCUGAAACUUAAAGGAAUUGGCGGGGGAGCAC
Molecule: ribosomal RNA, 562 nt
Filed under: uncultured archaeon
Lineage: Archaea
Description: bacterial SSU rRNA
Rfam family: Archaeal small subunit ribosomal RNA
Source: RNAcentral